RNAcentral lists this ribosomal RNA (752 nucleotides) under uncultured Actinomyces sp. RNAcentral's name for it is "bacterial SSU rRNA". It matches the Rfam family "Bacterial small subunit ribosomal RNA", at positions 28 to 776 of the family's 1533-position model. Lineage: Bacteria; Bacillati; Actinomycetota; Actinomycetes; Actinomycetales; Actinomycetaceae. The record is from RNAcentral.
GAUAAACGCUGGCGGCGUGCAUAACACAUGCAAGUCGAACGCUGAAGCCCAGCUUGCUGGGUGGAUGAGUGGCGAACGGGUGAGUAACACGUGAGUAACCUGCCCCCUUCUUUGGGAUAACGCCCGGAAACGGGUGCUAAUACUGGAUAUUCACUGGCUUUCGCAUGGGGGUUGGUGGAAAGGUUUUUUCUGGUGGGGGAUGGGCUCGCGGCCUAUCAGCUUGUUGGUGGGGUGAUGGCCUACCAAGGCUUUGACGGGUAGCCGGCCUGAGAGGGUGACCGGUCACAUUGGGACUGAGAUACGGCCCAGACUCCUACGGGAGGCAGCAGUGGGGAAUAUUGCACAAUGGGCGAAAGCCUGAUGCAGCGACGCCGCGUGAGGGAUGACGGCCUUCGGGUUGUAAACCUCUUUCGCUCAUGGUCAAGCCGCAGCUUUGGGUUGUGGUGAGGGUAGUGGGUAAAGAAGCGCCGGCUAACUACGUGCCAGCAGCCGCGGUAAUACGUAGGGCGCGAGCGUUGUCCGGAAUUAUUGGGCGUAAAGGGCUUGUAGGCGGUUGGUCGCGUCUGCCGUGAAAUCCUCUGGCUUAACUGGGGGGCGUGCGGUGGGUACGGGCUGACUUGAGUGCGGUAGGGGAGACUGGAACUCCUGGUGUAGCGGUGGAAUGCGCAGAUAUCAGGAAGAACACCGGUGGCGAAGGCGGGUCUCUGGGCCGUUACUGACGCUGAGGAGCGAAAGCGUGGGGAGCGAACAGG